This 618-nucleotide ribosomal RNA is filed under the name Triticum aestivum (bread wheat). RNAcentral's name for it is "partial small subunit ribosomal RNA". Lineage: Eukaryota; Viridiplantae; Streptophyta; Magnoliopsida; Poales; Poaceae. The record is from RNAcentral.
AUGUUCCCGGUGAAGCUGUUAUUGCUGGCGUUGAGUGCAAUCAGAUUUUUCAUCACCUUCCAUGUGGCUGAUGGAAAUUUUGAGCUGAACUGGUUGCUUGAGAUGUUGAGUACCUGCAGAGGCCGGUUGGUGGUAACCAAGUACGGCAGGUCGGGCAGCGGUCCGUUGAGCUGGUUGAAGCUGACGUCAAGGAUGAUGAUGCUUCCGGAGGACAUGAGCUCUGGCAAAAGGCCACCAGAGAAGGGGUUGUACGAGAGAUUGACAUGUAGCAGGCUGGUGAGGUUGGCCAGGGAUGGCGAGAUGCACCCUUCAAGUCCUUUAGAUCCCAGGGAUACCUCAGUAACGGCCUCAUCUUCAUUGCAGACGACGCCUUCCCACUUGCAGCAGUUCGUGCUGUUGUCGCGCCAUGACGUGGCGAGGCCACCAUCUCGCGAUAGCCCGGCUAGGAACCGGAGCAGAUUAUGCUUCUCCUGCUCGGUGCAUGCGGUGGCGGGAGAGGCCAAGAUGUGCAGCACCACGAACAGCACAACUGGAGGAACGGUGAAGGAAGGCAUUGGCCGGUGUUUGUUCUCCUCCUUGUUUUUCUGUUGCUUGAAGAAUGCACACGGUGCUGCUUAG